Molecule: ribosomal RNA, 468 nt
Filed under: uncultured bacterium
Lineage: Bacteria
Description: partial 16S ribosomal RNA
Rfam family: Bacterial small subunit ribosomal RNA
Source: RNAcentral
GACGAACGCUGGCGGCGUGCUUAACACAUGCAAGUCGAACGGAAAGGCCCUGCUUUUGUGGGGUGCUCGAGUGGCGAACGGGUGAGUAACACGUGAGUAACCUGCCCUUGACUUUGGGAUAACUUCAGGAAACUGGGGCUAAUACCGGAUAGGAGCUCCUGCUGCAUGGUGGGGGUUGGAAAGUUUCGGCGGUUGGGGAUGGACUCGCGGCUUAUCAGCUUGUUGGUGGGGUAGUGGCUUACCAAGGCUUUGACGGGUAGCCGGCCUGAGAGGGUGACCGGCCACAUUGGGACUGAGAUACGGCCCAGACUCCUACGGGAGGCAGAAGUGGGGAAUAUUGCACAAUGGGCGGAAGCCUGAUGCAGCAACGCCACGUGCGGGAUGACGGCCUUCGGGUUGUAAACCGCUUUCGCCUGUGACGAAGCGUGAGUGACGGUAAUGGGUAAAGAAGCACCGGCUAACUACGUG